ACUACCUUAUCCCCCAGUACUCUCUCGGUCUCUCCUCUCCUCUCCACUCACCCAACCUCUCUCGCUCCCGGUCUGCCCUCCCUCCCCCCGGCGCAUCCGCCGCGCGUGUCGAUGAGCUCCUGCCGCAACCGCGCGACUCCGACCAUCGACCACCGCAUCUGCCGCAUGCAUCGGCAAGUUGCCGCGCGAGGAAGAUCGCCACUGGUCCCGCAGCAGCCUUAGUUGGAGGAGGACGAUAGGUCCAUGGCGACGGAUGCUCAAGUAAGAGGAGCGGCCCCAAUGGUGGCGGCCUCGAGCACCAGGAUAAGUGCAAGCUGGGGAUGCAGGAGAGGUGCAGCGCGGGGCUCGGGGCUCCGACGAGCUGGGUGCGGCGCGACGGACGACGAUGGACGCAGGGACACGUUGAUCCGGGCGCGGGUGCUCAAUCCGGUCCCGUUCCGGCCGGAUCCGCGGCGGUGCUCAUCUCCGGCGAGGUGGCCGGUGACUCGCGGGACGACGGCGGCGCAAGACCACGGGAGGAGCUCAUCUCAUGGGGCUAGGGCGCGAGGUCCUGUUGGCUUCGGUUGCCGGUGGCUUGACGCAGGGGUGGCGGGGGUCCGGCAUCAUGGAGGCUCUUCGAGGGCGAGGAAGCAGACGGCCACGGCAACUUUGAGGCCGGCGGGGGCACCGUCUCCGCGUUCGAUGGUCGUGGUGAAUGUCGUGGGCUCCAACGCGGCCGCCGUUGGCUCUAUCCCCUAUAGGGCAUUACUCAAGUGAGCUGAUGAAGUAAGAGGAAUCCAGAGGCGUGGGAUUUGCACUGUGUAUCACUUUAAGCAUGGUUGGCCGCAUCGUUGGCUCCUCUUGAAAGCACAUGUACUACUUGCACCAAGAGUUCUGCAGCAAGAAUUUAACAGUCGAAAAACCGUAUCAACUAUAUGUAUGCCCCAAUGCGAUCAACAACAAGAAAUUAUGCUCGCAAUUACCUGGCACUGGCACUGGAGUCAUUCGGGAAGGAUGCUCAAGAUUAGGAAUGUCACCAAGAGGGGCUCGGCUAGAGUUAUCACCAAGAGGGGAUCGGCACAGAUUUGUCGCCUCCAUAUCUUCAAGCGUCAUGGUCUGUCGGCGCUUGUAACGAAAUAAAAUAAACCAUUAUUAUUUCUGUGAACUGUACACAUUAAAUAUAUACCGGGCCAAAAUCUAACUUUGAAGCAUGCGAUCAGGUUUUUGACCAGGUAUAUUUGUCUUGAAUGGAAGGACAAACACAAAGAAUCAUUACAUCAAGAAGCUAUCAGGCUUGAGGGCCUCACAUAUUUUCAUGACGCUUUCUGAAUAUGAGCCAGAGCUAUUUCCUAGUCUGAUUUCUCCUGGGUGUACUCUGCUUUCUGGUGUCUGAUUUGAUGACAAGAAUAUUGUGUCGACGGUCAGCGCCUGGAUUGUAAAUUGGACUUGAAAGCAAUAGCUCUCUAGGCACGCAAUGCAGAUUAUAACCCCAAGGUAAAAUCAUUAUCCUAAUGCAUUCUUCAUGAUGUUGGCUUUUCCCCCUUACUGGGCCUGUGAUGCUAUAUUUCCAAAAACAUCCAAAUUUUAUCACUUUGCUAGCAUCCACAUGUCUUUGUGAAUCCUGCUGUGUAGAUGGUGGAUAGCCUGGUAAAAGAGUAGAGACUUUGUACAUGGGUUCUUUUGUGUAUGUACCCUUCUGAAUUUGUGCUCAUUCGCUGAGAAAUUAGAGAACACCAGCUUACUAAAUAAUUUUUGAUCGAAUGGUGAGUUGAGACUCUCUACCUGACUGCCUUUUAGGCUUUAGCAUGAGGGUAAAGGUUAUUCAAGCAUAUAAACGGUCAACUAAUAAUAUGAAGGGUUAUACCACAGAAAAGUCAUUAUACCUGGAAGCUGACAAUCAAGCAAUAACCUUAGGGAAUCUACAACUAAAGCAUGCAUGACAUCCACCUAAACAAAAUUUAGACAUGUACUCCCUCCGUCCCAUAAUGUAAGACGUUUUUUGACACUAGUGUAGUGUAAAAAAACGUCUUACAUUAUGGGACGAAGGGAGUACAUUGCACACACAUAUUUCAGCAUACAUUGAGCCAAAAAAAUCACACACCGUGGCCUUCUACCCUACUACUUGCUGAACAAAAUUCAUUCGUCGCACACAUUAGCCUGUUGCAGUACUACUUGCUGAAGCUGCUGAGAACGCACAAUCAACAAGAACAACACAAAAUCGUGAAAGAGAGGGUCGAUGACUCGAGGUAAUCAGUUACCAUGUCUAAUUGUGAUCUGGUGGGGAAGAGAAGCUGGAUUGGCAAGGAAGAGAAGCUCCAGCCAGCGACAAGGAAGAGAAGUAAGACCCCAACGGCGGUGCUGAAUCAGAGAAGGAUCCAGCAGUGCAAUGCGGUGGCAGUGGAAGCGGCACGAUCCAGUAGUGCAUGGCGGCGGCGGCACAACAGGAGUAGUGCGCGGCCUCUCCUCCCCGACGGAACCGGCGCCCCACCUGCCUCUCUGAUGGUACCACACACCCGCAACAUCCCUCUUCCCUCCAGUACAUAAUUAGCAAUUGCAUCAACCAGGCAUCAAUUGUUCUAAAUCAUCCAUCAAACCAUAUUCUAGGGACUAAUAGAAAGUUACCUUUUGAGGCAAAAGCUUCAGCUCAAACAUGAUGAAUUUUGGCCUGAAUCUUGGCUAACUCAUCUCCUUUCUUUUGUCCCCCAUAGUCUUCUCUCUCCCUGGCUAUUUCCCCUAGAUGUGUUAGCACAGGAGUAGCAGCUCACCUCUCAAGGCCCCUCUCUCUGCUCCAUCGCAUCUGUGAUCCACUUCUAUAAAUGCGGGCAGACAACAUCACCUAAUCUUGCAUAAUCUAAACCAAGACCGCAUCAAAGAACCAGGUUAGAAUCAAAGGAGGGAGACAGGAGGGAAGUAAAUGCAUAAUCAGUUAUCUGCUUGUAACUCAAGGAAUUAUACCGCAACAUUUCCUCAAGUGCAGGCAAACUCGAAUGAUGUGCCGCUUGAUGAAACAUCUGCUUUUAACUCCGGAACUCAUGCUUCAGCAUAUGUUCCAUUGUGGGAUAAUCCUACACUUGGGAGGCAAGCCCAAGAUCACAUGAAGGUGUCAUUUGCAUUGCAACUGAACACUACAUAUCAGUAGUUCAGAUGUUUCCUCUUUGAUCACAUGAAGGCCCAUUCUUUAUCCCAUCUGCUUGCAGCGUCCCUAAAAAAAUCCCCUAGCAGCAUACAUCGUGCGCCUCCGCCGCCAGCCCACAACGGAGUCCCGGCCGCCGGCUCCCCGGUGCUCUCCGCCUCCCCGAAAGGCCGUUUCUCACCACCUUCCCGUACUCGCCGGCUCUUCGCACCUCCGAGGUCUCAGCUCUCCCAAAGAUCCUCUCCAACUCGGAGUUCCUCGCGUAGGGCACCGGCUCACACCGGCGUGCGGAGGCGAGGCAUGCCGCCGCUCCUCCGACCAGCCAACCAUAGCGGCGUGGCUCCUUUGACAAGCGGAGGGGCUCUCCUCUCCCACUGGUCGGCCUUGACUUCGACUCCUACAGCUGCACCUCGACUUCAGGUCACACCGGCCAGCAUUCUCCAUUGCCAAAUCUUAACCAUACCGAGUUCCUCCGACCAUCGUCGUGAAUCUCCAAUCAGAUAAGUCAGCCUUCAUGUGUAUCGCCCUUUAUAUCUCCACUCCGUUCCUCUUUGUUUUGAUAUAUAUCUCCACUCUGUUCUGAUUGUCAGGAAGAAGGUGGAUUGGUGGCCGUUUCCAGUAUGUACAUGGGACGACAACGGUUGUUCCUUGGUUGAAGGAUGCAAUGCAUCUCGCUGAAUUGCAAGUUGUACUAUUUUGGGUCUGCCUAGAUACCCAAGCAGGGGAGAUAAAAGCUACAAGUUGGGAAGAAAAGCCAGGGAUGAUUCUCAGUGGUACUCUUUACUUGGUAUUUGAUGAUUACUCUUUACUUGGUACAAGGUUCUUGAUGAUUUUAAUAGUCUGACCCUGCUGUAGAAAGCACUUCACAUACAUGCCUGGAUGUGUUCGAGAUGCAUUGCAGUGUGUAUUCAUAGGUGGCCACGAAGGGCGACUAAAAGUAAUUCUGGGGAUCGAAAUCAGAUCGAGAUGCAUCUGCCUGAAUAUAAAAUAUAAGGCAAAGUUCAAUGUGUGCCCCAUCAUUGGCCCUGAUCUCUCUAUCUUCUUAGCCCUCCCAGUGCCCGGCCACUUUCAGUGGUUCUCCACUAAUUUCUCCUCUUUACCAAUCGAAUACGUUCAUCUAAUUCAUGUUUUAUAACAAAAAGAGGGGCCAUGCAGAUUAAUUCUUUACAUCGGCUCAAGUCUUAUUACUAGAAAUUGAUCUUUCUUCUCAAUUGAUUUAUCUAAUGUGGUUGUAGGACUUGCAGCCAAUAUAAAGAGAAGGAGAUUUUUCUUCCAAAUGCUAUAGUUGCACUUCACAUCAUUGGGAUCGUGGAUGUUGAUACCAAUUGGAUGUGCUCCCGUGUUGUCCCAAGUGCAGCAAUUUCUCGCUGAUGCAUCAGGCAAAGAUUUUUUUACCCAAAAGGCAAAGAUACAUAGCUAGCAGUUUAUCAGCGGAUGACUCUUGCUUUGUUGAUUGUUGUGCUUAAUCAAUAUCCUUACAGGUAACUCACAUGCCACCAUGAUCCAGUAUGAUAUUUGUUCAAAUGUAUAACAUACAUAUCUAUUUUUUCUUUCUAUGCUUGCACAUCUCCGAAGUCUAGACCAGAAUGCUGCUUUUAAUUAUGUUGGCUAUGCAUGCAUGUAAUGUGUGUUGUACAACUAUUUAGUAAAGCGUUCAUUGUAUUCUUUGCACAUGCCAUUUCCAACCUCUUCGAAAGCAUAUAUGUCAACCUGCUACUAAUCCAUACGUUUUAUAUACUUACAUUACUAUAUUUAUAAUUUAUUAUUAUUUUGGAACAGUUUCUGGGUAUAUCAGGACGUACCAAGUCAGUUUGAUAGAACUGAUUUGUGAACCCAGAUUAAUUGCAGAGCCAUACCUAAUUUUCAAAAGACUUGAGGGCUUUAAUAGACAGUGGGGCCUUUUUCCUCUAAUCAAUGUAGAAGUAUUUGAUCUUGCCUCAAAAAAGGUUACAUUGCCCUAGAUUAUAUGUGAAAAUUUAGUUAGCUUAUUUGUGUAUAAAUUAUGAAGAAUAAAACUAUGUUAUAAUCUGAAAAGAAAAUGUAUAGAGACAAGUAGAAAGUAAUGUGGAUUCGAACUACCCCGGUUAUAUAUUAAGACUAUUACAUCAUUGACCUUGCCGCGAACUCUGGAUAUUCUCGACUCUAGGUCCACAAAGUUCGUGUAUGCCAUACCUCUAAAAGUAAUGUUAGUGUUAUGAUUCAUUAGUAAAGCUUCUCCUCUAUUCAGAUUGAAUCUGAGAAGCCUAACAGCGAGCAAAUUCCUCUGUGUUGCUUCAGUUAUAUGGCUCGAGCUGGCCAAACCUGAAAACUUCAGUGAAGAGUGAAAGUACAUCUAAAGUACUUUCUGUUACCUACAAUCCUAUUACUUGAUUUUUAUGCUACUGUGCGUAUGGGUGAAUCUGCAAGAUGAUGCAAAAAUUUGCUUGCAGAUAGCAUGUGUGUAUGUGUACAGAUAUGCAUGUUGUAUGUUUAUAUCAAUUUUGCAACAUUGAUAUUUGUUCAGAUGGUUCUAAAUAGUUCUUCAGUGAAGAUUAAGAGUACAUCUACAUUACAUUUUGUUGCCUACCCUAUUAAAUGAUUUUUUUUGCUAAUUGUGUGUAUGGGUAAAUCUGCAAGAUGAUGCAAAAAAUUGCUUGCAGAUAGUCUGUAUGUGUACACAGAUGCUUCUAAGCAGUGCUCUAGCAGAAUAGUGCUCCCCUUUCCUUACUGUUGUUGCUAAAUAUUUGUUUUUUGUGGCAUAUGAGGACUGAACAGUAUCAGGCCAUCGACCUCACCCUGGGAGUCCACUUCUUCACGGUCACGACAUCCACCUUGACAUCCCUAUUUUGUGUUGUUUAGUUGCAUGUGGUUCAUGCAAACUUCCUGAAGCAUUUUAUUGAAAUUGGAUAGAACUGAGAAAAUCUAUGUAUACGUACAAUGUUGUUUUCCUUUUUCUAGCAGUUGAGUUCCAGAGACGAAUGGGGAUUGGGGAGGUGAACUUUGAGCUGGAACUCUCUAUGUGUUCUUGCAAUCAUAAUGCCGGGGGAUUAUAAGACAACAUACAGUUUGUUCAUUUUCUUUUGGAGGUAUGUGAACAUUGAUUCAUAUGAUUAGUCGGUACUUAAGAACAGGGAUACCCACACUUUACAUGAUAAUCCAAAAGUUCAGAUUUUAACUAAAGAUGUUAAGCUAUGAGGAGAACCUUAUUGGCUCAGCCAUCAUAUUUUGUUUUAGGUAGGUAAUCAUUAGUUCAUAUUGCUGAGCAGGCAAAGCCAUGGUGUACGAAUGGCUCAAGCUAUUCUGAUAUUUGAUAUAGAUUUAAAUGACCAGGAGAGCCUAAAAAUAGUACUAUGCGGAAAUGCAGGGAAGACCUAAUAUGUUCUCAUUUGAGAAAAAUAAAACUCCCUACUUUCCAACUAUUGAUUUCAUUUGUACAUGUAAAAGAAACUAUAUUAGACAAAUAUAUGAUUGAUCAGGUUCAAUGAAGGUUAGCUUAAAUACCAUGUAUUUUUCUGCACAAAAAUUACUGCCUAUUGUAUGCCAUCCUCUUUACAUUUGUUAGUCUAUAGUCAAGUACAAAAAUAAAAUUAGUUCAGUAAUGCCUUUGCUCCAUACGAGCAAACAGUUGUUGUUAAUAAAAGGAAAACAGACUAUUGAUUUCAUUAGUUUGCAGGAAAAUCACUGUAUUUUAACACUUAUGCAAAACGAACUUUAAAUCACGAGAAAUGUUGAUUUUUUAAUAAAAGAUCUUGAGGGUGAGAGAAUUUUCAGCAAAUUCAAAGGAAUAGCUAAAGUACCAUAUAUAGAGGGUGACACAUGUGGUAAUUAACAUAACAUGGAUCUUGCCUUAAUUUUCUUAUUCAAGGAGUACAAUUUGUGUAGGAAAGUCAUUAGAAAUGAGUGCUAUCAUUUGUCAUACCAUGGAAGUACGUUUUGAAGUUUUCUUACUGUAAAGAUUUUUCUUCAACAUUUAUGAGUUGGCUAGCAAAAUUAUGGUAACUGCAAUUCACAUCAGGUAUAAGGCGACACAUAGGGCCGUCAUCUAGGUGCGUACAUCUUAAUCUCAUUUUCAGUGACGGUUGCUUUGCUAUCUUAUAAAUUGAUUAUGGCAGAAUGUAGAAACCAUGUGGUGCUUGUGGCGUUUUUUUCCUGUUAUUAUAGAUAUGUUCCGAGCAAUUUAAGGAUUCUUUUUGUAAAGUUCAUCGUGCUUAGGGUACAAUAUUUGCAGUAUAAUUUCUACUAAAACCAUCAUUCUGUACGCCUUUUCUUUCCCUACUUUUCGUACAGCAAACUGAUGGAUCGACUAACCACAAACUUAGCAUGUGGUAUGCAACAUGCUUAGUACAGCGCCUUCUAACCAUGCAAUAGCAGUUCCCACUCCAUGCUACUAUUAUGUACACAGACGGGAAGUUUGUUUGAGAAAGAGGAGUAUGUUUCUACUAUUUCCUAUGUGGAACUAACAAUUCACGCCUCUAGCUUCUACUCCCUUUGUAAACUAAUAUAAGAGCGUUUAGAUUACUAAAGUAGUGAUCUAAACGCUUUUAUAUUAGUUUACGGAGGGAGUACUACUUUAUCGUUUUGCACAAAAGCUUUUAUAACCAUGAUGCUGAUAAAUAUGUGAUAGGUACUUCACGUGCUACCACAUUAGUAGGGUGAUUUCAAUAAGAGUACCAGAAUUUAUAUUCUUCUGCAUUAAGAUAAUAUUCACUAACGGAGUUCUAUUUUUUUUUACAAACCAGUUCAUUCGCCGCGAGGAAAAAAUCUACUUGCUGCCUGAGAACCAAAGCCACAAUAGAUCAAGUUACUUGGUCGGAAGAAAUUGUCAAGGGCUGCAGCUUACACAUGAUCGGGGGUGGCGAUCUUAGUCUAUCUCACCUGAGUUACAUGUUAUAAAAAAUAGUAUAGAUGUAGAACAACCUACAGUAUAAUUGUACGUCUCAACUAUCUGUCAUAUGUCUUACUAACAUACCUUUUUUUGAACCGGUCUUAUUAUUAUAUUUUUUUGAAGCGGUCUUACUAUUA
Aegilops tauschii subsp. strangulata is the source of this 8113-nucleotide non-coding RNA. The record is from RefSeq and is a predicted model, not a curated record. NCBI's taxonomy places the organism in Eukaryota, Viridiplantae, Streptophyta, Magnoliopsida, Poales, Poaceae.